AACAUACCUAUAACUGUUGCUUCGGCGGGUAGGGUCUCCGCGACCCUCCCGGCCUCCCGCCUCCGGGCGGGUCGGCGCCCGCCGGAGGAUAACCAAACUCUGAUUUAACGACGUUUCUUCUGAGUGGUACAAGCAAAUAAUCAAAACUUUUAACAACGGAUCUCUUGGUUCUGGCAUCGAUGAAGAACGCAGCGAAAUGCGAUAAGUAAUGUGAAUUGCAGAAUUCAGUGAAUCAUCGAAUCUUUGAACGCACAUUGCGCCCGCCAGCAUUCUGGCGGGCAUGCCUGUUCGAGCGUCAUUUCAACCCUCAAGCUCUGCUUGGUGUUGGGGCCCUACAGCUGAUGUAGGCCCUCAAAGGUAGUGGCGGACCCUCCCGGAGCCUCCUUUGCGUAGUAACUUUACGUCUCGCACUGGGAUCCGGAGGGACUCUUGCCGUAAAACCCCCCAAUUUUCCAAAGGUUGACCUCGGAUCAGGUAGGAAUACCCGCUGAACUUAAGCAUAUCAAUAAGGCG
This 513-nucleotide ribosomal RNA is filed under the name Colletotrichum gloeosporioides. RNAcentral describes it as "eukaryotic LSU rRNA". The stretch from base 145 to 298 matches the Rfam family "5.8S ribosomal RNA". The record is from RNAcentral. Lineage: Eukaryota; Fungi; Ascomycota; Sordariomycetes; Glomerellales; Glomerellaceae.